Molecule: long non-coding RNA, 352 nt
Organism: Ctenocephalides felis (cat flea)
Lineage: Eukaryota; Metazoa; Arthropoda; Insecta; Siphonaptera; Pulicidae
Exons: 3
Source: RefSeq, a predicted model, not a curated record
CGAUGUCAUUUCGAAUUGACCAUGGUUAAUGCUGUAUUGGGGAAUCCCUCCUUUUUCUUGCUGACCAUCGACGAGAAAAAUUCAAAGGAGAAAAGAAGCGGCUAUUGAAACCGUUACUCGAUACCAGUUCAACUAAUAUUCAUAGAAGCAAAUUAAUAAUUUUCCAAUCGACGAUCAAAGCUAUAAAUGCACACUGAAGACGACGACUGUGAUAAGUUUGAUAAAAACUUCUCAAAAAUAUUAAAUGAAGAUGUGCUGAUUAGUCUUUGGUAAAAACAGGUCCAGGCGUUUCGGGGAUGCCGAGCUAAAUGUGAAAAAAAUAAGUCUUUGGAAGAACUAUGCCGUACACCAC